UACGCACACACACACACAGGAUCAUCACAACUAAAACACAACUUAGGUUUCUUUCUUCCUUCUUCGAUUUGAUUUCCUCUCUCUCUGUCUGAUCUGCGAGGCCGAACCUCUCUUUUCCUCUACGUGAAACCUCUCUUUCAGCCAUCCUUGUUCUUCUUCAGCCGUCGCGCAGCCGAAGCUCUCUCAGUCGUCGCGCCGUCGUCACGCAAGCAGCAGUUCGUGCAGAUCAUCAUCCAUAUUUCUGGAGUAGGUUGCAGCUUCCAGCAGACGCACUCUUUUUUUUUCUCCCCUUGACGCAGCUGCGCACUCCUUCUCGUCACUUUUCCAUUGAAGGCUCUCUCUCUACCAAAGGUGAAUUUCUCACUCUUCUGUAAAUGCUUAAUCUUGAAUAUUGUUAUUUCCAAUCUCUGUUUGCAUUUUUA
This is a long non-coding RNA of Prunus dulcis (almond), 422 nucleotides long. RefSeq lists it as uncharacterized. The transcript has 2 exons. NCBI's taxonomy places the organism in Eukaryota, Viridiplantae, Streptophyta, Magnoliopsida, Rosales, Rosaceae. The record is from RefSeq and is a predicted model, not a curated record.